AAACCAAGUCUCUUGGCCACCGAGAGAGGCAUCAAGCUUACGGAUGCUCCCAUGCUUCACAGAAGGUUUCAGUAUUUUGCUGUGUGAAUCCUGAUAUCUCAUUCCGGAGUCU
Arabidopsis thaliana (thale cress) is the source of this 112-nucleotide small nucleolar RNA. It matches the Rfam family "Plant small nucleolar RNA R71". From Rfam's summary of the family: R71 is a member of the C/D box family of snoRNAs containing the C (UGAUGA) and D (CUGA) box motifs. The record is from Rfam. NCBI's taxonomy places the organism in Eukaryota, Viridiplantae, Streptophyta, Magnoliopsida, Brassicales, Brassicaceae.